GACGAACCGUGCGAACGUUGUUCGGAAUCACUGGGCUUAAAGGGCGCGUAGGCGGGCUGCCAAGUCAGGGGUGAAAUCCUGCGGCUCAACCGUAGAAGUGCCUUUGAUACUGGCGGCCUUGAGGGAGGUAGGGGCGUGCGGAACUUCCGGUGGAGCGGUGAAAUGCGUAGAUAUCGGAAGGAACACCGGUGGCGAAAGCGGCGCGCUGGACCUCUUCUGACGCUGAGGCGCGAAAGCCAGGGGAGCGAACGGG
Molecule: ribosomal RNA, 253 nt
Filed under: Gemmataceae bacterium
Lineage: Bacteria; Pseudomonadati; Planctomycetota; Planctomycetia; Gemmatales; Gemmataceae
Also listed under: 1 other name
Description: partial 16S ribosomal RNA
Rfam family: Bacterial small subunit ribosomal RNA
Source: RNAcentral